GUGCUCGCUUCGGCAGCAUGUAUACUAAAAU
This 31-nucleotide small nuclear RNA is filed under the name Cervus elaphus hippelaphus. The record is from RNAcentral. Lineage: Eukaryota; Metazoa; Chordata; Mammalia; Artiodactyla; Cervidae.